Molecule: ribosomal RNA, 403 nt
Filed under: uncultured bacterium
Lineage: Bacteria
Description: partial 16S ribosomal RNA
Rfam family: Bacterial small subunit ribosomal RNA
Source: RNAcentral
AUUGAACGCUGGCGGCAGGCCUAACACAUGCAAGUCGAGCGAGCGGCGGACGGGUGCGUAAUGUAUGGGGACUGUCCGUUAGAGGGGGAUAACUACUGGAAACGGUAGCUAAUCCCGCACACUCUCGGAUACCCCUUAUGGGAUUAGCUAGUAGGUGGGGUAAUGGCUCACCUAGGCGACGAUCCCUAGCUGGGCUGAGAGGAUGAUCAGCCACACUGGGACUGAGACACGGCCCAGACUCCUACGGAGGCAGCAGUGGGGAAUAUUGCGCAAUGGGCGCAAGCCUGAUGCAGCCAUGCCGCGUGUAUGAAGAAGGCCUUAGGGUUGUAAAGUACUGUCAGUCGGGAGGCGUUACCGACAGAAGAAGCACCGGCUAACUCCGUGCCAGCAGCCGCGGUAAUAC